GAUGAACGCUGGCGGCGUGCCUAAUACAUGCAAGUCGAGCGAACAGACGAGGAGCUUGCUCCUCUGAUGUUAGCGGCGGACGGGUGAGCAACACGUGGAUAACCUACCUAUAAGACUGGGAUAACUUCGGGAAACCGGAGCUAAUACCGGAUAACAUGUUGAACCGCAUGGUUCAACAGUGAAAGACGGUCUUGCUGUCACUUAUAGAUGGAUCCGCGCCGCAUUAGCUAGUUGGUAAGGUAACGGCUUACCAAGGCAACGAUGCGUAGCCGACCUGAGAGGGUGAUCGGCCACACUGGAACUGAGACACGGUCCAGACUCCUACGGGAGGCAGCAGUAGGGAAUCUUCCGCAAUGGGCGAAAGCCUGACGGAGCAACGCCGCGUGAGUGAAGAAGGUCUUCGGAUCGUAAAACUCUGUUAUUAGGGAAGAACAAAUGUGUAAGUAACUAUGCACGUCUUGACGGUACCUAAUCAGAAAGCCACGGCUAACUACGUG
This 497-nucleotide ribosomal RNA is filed under the name uncultured bacterium. RNAcentral's name for it is "partial 16S ribosomal RNA". It matches the Rfam family "Bacterial small subunit ribosomal RNA", at positions 28 to 507 of the family's 1533-position model. The record is from RNAcentral.